UCUCCCUGCACCCCAGAUGUCCACCCUACCUGUUCCCUGACUUCCUCCAUCCUGUCCAGCAGGAUGGGCUGGACAGUGGGACAGCCUGUGUGCAUAUUUUGUGGCAAGUAGGAGUGACACACCAUCCCUGGGAGGCACCAUGGUUCCUGCCAAACCCAACCCCAGAACUCUGUCCCUGAGGUGGUUUUACCAAAACCCAAAACCCAGAACUAUGGUUGUGGGUCAGGGGUCAGCACCUGCUAGUACCAGGACACUACUGGGAGGCUGGGACCUGACUGAAGUCCAUGAUGUCUGUGGCCUGAGGACAGGGUAUGUUGGGGCCAUAAGGCCCGGCCGCCAAUGGCCAUUGGGUCCUAGGGCCUCAGUCCCAGUGUUUGCCCUUCCCUGGCUCCUUCUGGUUCAGUCCCAUUAGGGCCCUGGAGCCCAAGACCCAGCACCCAAGGUCCCCUCCAGGAAUCCUGGCGGCUUGGCUUCCUUUAUCAUGUUUCAUCUGAGAGCAAAAAUGUCAGAUCGGAUGCACAGAAAAAUGGCCCAAAUUGUUUAAUGACUAGAAGAAAUAUAGGAGCAGCAAGAAUGUAAUGUGAAGAGGGGAGGGCCUCCAUGACCGGUGUCUGCAGAGCCAAGGGUACAGGCACCCAGUGUUGUGGCCUGGCACCACUGGCCUCUCAGAGGGUGGGUAGCACACUGUCCUUACCCGGAGGACAGCAGGCCUGAUCACCAGCUUUUCUACCUGUCCCUGUAAGCAUCACAUUGCUAGAAGAAAAUCUCAUGCCAGAGCUUAGACCAUCCCUAGCUCAGAGGUUAGGGGUUGUCUCUUGGUGACCUAAAUGAAAAAAUAGGUCUAGAUCAGAGUUCCUGACGCAGAGCACUCAUCCACUCUUUGAAUCGUUGGAGGAGAGGCCUGGUUUUAGGUAAACCUAACCUCUUUGAGGAACCACAGUGCCCAAGACUGGAAACCUUCAGAAUCUGCUGGCCCCCAACCCUCCCUGGGGACCCCUGUGGCCUAUCUCACCAGAGCACUCUUCUGUCUGUAGAUGUCUCAGCUGCUCUACAAGGGAGUCCCAUUUCAGGUGUGGGGCUGGGCAUGGUCACUCCUGCUGGAUGUCUAGAAGAUGGAAACUAAGGACCUAGGAAAAUGCCAGAUACAGCCUUUCCACCCUCAUCCAGAGCAGGACAAACAGGCCAGGUGGUGUCAGGAGCCCAGGUCUCCAGCUGGAGGGAACGUCAACCCUGCAGUGGGAGCAGGGGCCCAUCGCACAUCCUAGGCACAGAUGCUAAUGUAGGCACUGCAGACCAUAAAGGAGAACAGCAAGAGGCCCCCAGCAAACAUCCACAGAUGGCCCUGGACAUCAGCCACAUUCUGAGAAACAUGUCAUGUUCUGGGAGGGCUAAGGCAUCAAGUAAGGCCUGUGGGGCUGGAGGAUCCCAGGCAAGGUGGGGCAAUCCAGAGCCAUGGGGCCUUCCCAUGGGGAUUGGGAGGUCCCAAGGCAGAGUCAGAGGUUCCACAGGAGGAGUCACAGAGUCACCAAGGGCUCUCCUGGCCCAGGGAGCAGUCAACACCAUGGACUGAACACCUGCUGGGCUCCAAGCCCUGGGCCAGGCUGCCCAUGUGGGGCCAGGAGGCAGCUCAGAGUGGGAGGCAGAGAAGUGUGCUCAGAGGGCACCUGUAUCUGGAUGUAAUGUGGUCCUGAGACUGGCUGAGAAGUGCUUCCAGGGUAUCAUAUGUGUUAUGCAGUUACUUCCUCUCCCCAGCCUUACCCUGUAGAAAUUCUAGUGACUAUGUUGCCACCAUCUUGGAGCUCCAUGCCCUCAUAGUGUAAUGGCACCAGCAGAUCUGCCUGUGCAUGGACUUCCUGUACUACCUCACUCCUGAGGGGAGAUGUUUCUGCAGGGCCUAUGACCUGGUGCACAACUUUAGACACCAUCAUCCUGGAGCAGCACUGCACCCUCACUAGCCAGGGUGUUGACAUCCUCAAGGCCAGGGCCACAUUCAAGACUUUGGACUUCAUUGACGCACUUUUGCUGAGCAAGCUUAUCUGAUCUCCUGGGAUCUCUACUAGGAUGCUGGCAGCCCAGCCGGCUGGUCUGGCCCUGGACGUGCUUUCAGGGGCUGAUUAUGCUUCAUGACCUGUGUUGUGAUCCUGGUCAGAGUAAAACAUUCCAUGGGAACUCGGGCUGUGAGAAACAUCCUAACCACCUGACUGCAGAAACAUCCUUAUCACAUCCUGCUGGGCAAAGGCCCAACAGCCUGACUUCAGGAACAUCCUUAUCAUCUUCUACUGAGCAGCAAGCGAUACUGUCCAGAGCCCUCCCUCCCAGCCCCAUGAUUAC
RNAcentral lists this long non-coding RNA (2331 nucleotides) under Pan troglodytes (chimpanzee). Its description in RNAcentral is "long non-coding RNA NONPTRT017452". Lineage: Eukaryota; Metazoa; Chordata; Mammalia; Primates; Hominidae. The record is from RNAcentral.